This 449-nucleotide ribosomal RNA is filed under the name uncultured bacterium. RNAcentral's name for it is "partial 16S ribosomal RNA". It matches the Rfam family "Bacterial small subunit ribosomal RNA", at positions 29 to 523 of the family's 1533-position model. The record is from RNAcentral.
AACGAACGCUGGCGGCAUGCCUAACACAUGCAAGUCGAACGAGACCUUCGGGUCUAGUGGCGCACGGGUGCGUAACGCGUGGGAAUCUACCCUUGGGUUCGGAAUAACAGUUAGAAAUGACUGCUAAUACCGGAUGAUGACGUAAGUCCAAAGAUUUAUCGCCCAAGGACGAGCCCGCGUAAGAUUAGGUAGUUGGUGGGGUAAAGGCCUACCAAGCCGACGAUCUUUAGCUGGUCUGAGAGGAUGAUCAGCCACACUGGGACUGAGACACGGCCCAGACUCCUACGGGAGGCAGCAGUGGGGAAUAUUGGACAAUGGGCGAAAGCCUGAUCCAGCGAUGCCGCGUGAGUGAUGAAGGCCUUAGGGUUGUAAAGCUCUUUUACCAGGGAUGAUAAUGACAGUACCUGGAGAAUAAGCUCCGGCUAACUCCGUGCCAGCAGCCGCCGUAA